UAAAAUCAAAAGAUUAAUACAGUCGAGGAACUUUUGAGGCACCCUCUUAGACACUGGCUCAGUUUCUUCUCUUUCAGCAAGCUGAGCUGCAGUGACUGCCAACAAGGAGAGAAAGAAGGAGAUGCCAAUAGAAUCAAUAAAUACAGAGUGAAUUCGAAGAGCAAGGUACUAUGCCAGCCAUUUUGAAACAAAGAUGAUUCAUUCGAAAGGUAAAGUGACUGCUAAUGGGUAUGAGGUUUCUUUUUUCUUUUUUUUCUUUUUUCUUUUUUAAAUAGAGACAAGGUCUUGCUAUCAGGUAUGAGGUUUCUUUUUUUUUAUUGUGAGACAGAGUCUUGUUCUGUCACUCAGGCUGGAGUGCAAUGGCUUGAUCUUGGCUCACUGCAACCUCUGCCUCCUGGGUUCAAAUGAUUCUCCUGCCUCAACCUCCCGAGUAGCUUGGACUACAGGCAUGCGCCACCAUGCCCGGCUAAUUUUUUGUAUUUUUAGUAGAGACAGGGUUUCACCAUGUUGGCCAGGCUGGUCUCGAACUCCUGACCUCAACUCCUGACCUCAGGCGAUCCACCUGCCUUGGCCUCCCAAAGGCGUGAGCCACUGCGCCCAGCCAGGUAUGAGGUUUCUGAUUGUGGUGAUAAAAAUGUUCUGGAAUCAGUGAUGAUGACUAUAUCACUUUGUGAAUAUACUAAAAAUCACUGAAUUGUAACUUUAAAAGGGUGAAUUUUAUGGUGUGUGACUUGUUUUUGUUUUUGAGAUGGAGUCUCAUUGUGUUGUCAGGCUGGAGUGCAGUGGUACUAUCUCGGCUUACUGCAGCCUCCGCCUCCCGGGUUCAAGCGAUUCUCCUGCCUCAGCCACCGGAGUAGCUGGGACUACAGGCACACACCACCAUGCCCAGCUAAUUUUGGUAUUUUUAGUAGGGGUUUCACCAUGUUGGCCAGGAUGGUCUCAAUCUCUUGACCUCAUGAUCCGCCUGCCUUGGCCUCCUGAAGUGCUGGGAUUACAGCACCACUGCACCCAGCCUAUGGUAUGUGAAUUCUAUCUCAAUUUAUACAUACAUACAUGCAUAUAUAUAAUUAAAGAAUAGCUAGUAUGUGCCAGAGAGUCUGUGCUAGGCAUUGGGUAAAUCAUACCUAACCUGUUUGAGUUACUGACUCUGUGUCAGCCUGUAUGCGAAGUUCUUUGCAUACAUCCUCUUAUUUGAUCUUUAUAAUCUCCUUGGAGGGAAUGAGUAUUGGUACCCCAUUUUAUAGCUAAAGAAAUGGAUUUAGAGAGUCCCUUGCUCAAAAUCACAUGUGAAGUUAGGUUUAAUCAUGUGAAACUGCCAUUUUGUAGACAGUAUUUAUGUUCAUAUGUCAUCAGUUUCUUAUAGCUCAAUCUAGUAAGUAGCUGUGUCUCUCUGAGUUUGUCACUGUGUACAUCAGGAAACCACUCUAGCCAGAUUAAGCAGCAAAGAAUC
Molecule: long non-coding RNA, 1450 nt
Filed under: Homo sapiens (human)
Lineage: Eukaryota; Metazoa; Chordata; Mammalia; Primates; Hominidae
Description: HSALNT0086263
Source: RNAcentral